AUUUUAUUAACAACCAGCCAAGCAAGCAGAGCUUGUUAGUUGUUUGUGUUCCUUUAGCUAAGUUCCUUCAGCUAAGUUAGCAAAGUGCACAGUGAUAUCGAUAUGGAAGCAAUUGGUGAAACUGGUGUGAGGGUCUUCAUGUAGAAAACCAAAGGCUAUGCAGCAUAAUAAUUAUUAUAACAGAAUGAUAUCUACAAAAAUAACGUAAUUGGAAAUAAAAGAGAGAGGACAAUUUGUGAUGUCUUGAACAUUCAUGCCUUUGCAGGACAUAACUUGAAUAGACUAUAUCAGGUGUUAGUUGUAAACUGUG
Halichondria panicea is the source of this 310-nucleotide long non-coding RNA. RefSeq lists it as uncharacterized. The record is from RefSeq and is a predicted model, not a curated record. NCBI's taxonomy places the organism in Eukaryota, Metazoa, Porifera, Demospongiae, Suberitida, Halichondriidae. The transcript is spliced from 3 exons.